Molecule: ribosomal RNA, 133 nt
Filed under: uncultured bacterium
Lineage: Bacteria
Description: partial 16S ribosomal RNA
Rfam family: Bacterial small subunit ribosomal RNA
Source: RNAcentral
AUAUUAAAGAUUCAUCGGUAAGAGAUGAGUAUGCGUUCUAUUAGCUAGUGGUGCGGUAACGGCGCACCAGGCUACGAUAGAUAGGGGCCCUGAGAGGGGGAUCCCCCCACACUGGUACUGAGACACGGACCAG